CUCCGAGUACCUUGAGGAUGUUCUGGAAGAGCUGACAUAUGGACCUGCCCCGGACCUGGUGAUCAUCAACUCCUGCCUCUGGGAUCUCUCCAGAUAUGGUCGCUGCUCAAUGGAGAGCUACCGGGAGAACCUGGAGCGGGUGUUUGUGCGCAUGGACCAAGUAUUGCCAGACUCCUGCCUGCUGGUGUGGAACAUGGCGAUGCCCCUCGGGGAGCGUAUCACUGGGGGUUUCCUCCUGCCAGAGGCCAGCCUUUCCCACCCCAUGAAUUCUUCAACUAUAAUCCAGUGGAGGACUUCUCGAUGCCAUCCCACUUAGGAUGUGGCCCUGGAGUGAACUUUGUGCCUGGCCCUCUGCCACCUCCAAUCCCUGGCCCUAAUCCCCAUGGUCAGCACUGGGGCCCAGUGGUCCACCGGGGGAUGCCACGCUAUGUUCCUAACAGCCCCUACCAUGUGCGGAGAAUGGGGGGGCCCUGCAGGCAGCGGCUCAGACACUCAGAGAGACUGAUCCACACAUACAAACUGGACAGACGGCCUCCUGCCCAUUCGGGGACAUGGCCUGGGUAGACUGGAUCUUGGGCUGGGACUGGAUGUGCCAAUGGCCCUGCAGGGCCUGCCUGGCACCUCAGGUACUGGGCUAGGGUGUCUGCUAUGCCUGGUAUUGUUCUUGUCCAUUGCUGUCACCAAUAAAGGCAUGGAAGAACAGAGUGACAAA
This 712-nucleotide small RNA is filed under the name Pongo abelii (Sumatran orangutan). RNAcentral's name for it is "retained intron". Lineage: Eukaryota; Metazoa; Chordata; Mammalia; Primates; Hominidae. The record is from RNAcentral.